AAAUUGAAGAGUUUGAUCAUGGCUCAGAUUGAACGCUGGCGGCAGGCCUAACACAUGCAAGUCGAGCGGUAGCACAGAGAGCGUGCUCUCGGGUGACGAGCGGCGGACGGGUGAGUAAUGUCUGGGAAACUGCCUGAUGGAGGGGGAUAACUACUGGAAACGGUAGCUAAUACCGCAUAACGUCGCAAGACCAAAGUGGGGGACCUUCGGGCCUCAUGCCAUCAGAUGUGCCCAGAUGGGAUUAGCUAGUAGGUGAGGUAACGGCUCACCUAGGCGACGAUCCCUAGCUGGUCUG
Molecule: ribosomal RNA, 295 nt
Filed under: Klebsiella pneumoniae
Lineage: Bacteria; Pseudomonadati; Pseudomonadota; Gammaproteobacteria; Enterobacterales; Enterobacteriaceae
Description: partial 16S ribosomal RNA
Rfam family: Bacterial small subunit ribosomal RNA
Source: RNAcentral